GGGCACUGCGAGGAGUGGAAGGCAGCGGUCAUACGCCAGAUCGGAGCAGCAGCAGCAGGGAGCUGCUGGUGGUUCAGGUUUGCCUGUAUGGCCGUCAACUCCAGCCCCGACCCGGACAGUGCCAUGGGUCCGGCGAAGUGGUCCACGCUGAGGAAGAGGGAAACAACACAGGGAAGAAGCCAGCGUUCUUGUGGUAUAUCUGAGGUAUUAGGACGAUUGGCCAGUGGAUGGAAAAGGUAUUGGUACAAAAGUCAUUGACAAACUGUAACAGGCUUAUGCAUCUGAGAUUCCUAUGAUGGCGAAAAAGUGACAAGACAUUGAAUGUGGAACAUUACAGAGAAAUGAUUGACUAUUUGACAGAAGUAUUAGAUGAGUUUCGGACGACAAGGUAAUGGCGUAGAGGUAGCAUCAUACAUACUGUUCUGGUUGGUUAGCUUCACGCUCUAAAGCUAGGAUUUUAAUUCUCUGAGUGUAAGUAAUGUAUUGUUAUACCAGAUGAAA
Aegilops tauschii subsp. strangulata is the source of this 501-nucleotide long non-coding RNA. RefSeq lists it as uncharacterized. The record is from RefSeq and is a predicted model, not a curated record. Lineage: Eukaryota; Viridiplantae; Streptophyta; Magnoliopsida; Poales; Poaceae.